Molecule: RNA transcript, 2838 nt
Organism: Stegostoma tigrinum
Lineage: Eukaryota; Metazoa; Chordata; Chondrichthyes; Orectolobiformes; Stegostomatidae
Gene name: utrophin-like
Exons: 10
Source: RefSeq, a predicted model, not a curated record
GGUUUUGGGAUGCAGUGGUGGGAGUGGAGAUUUUGAAGCUUGUGAAAUCCACAUUGAUAGCAUUGGGCUGCAGAGUUCCCAAGGCUCAGUUAAGGAAGGACAACAAACAUUGAUCAGUCAGUCAUACAUCCAGCAAGAAAACUUUAUUUUUUUAAAAAAAUAGGAUGCAUCUGUUAAUCAAGUGGCAAAGCAUUAUCGAGUUUUGAGAAGAUUUGUAGCUCAGGGUUCAGGUUCUGGAAUGUAAGAUUGCUCAAUGAGCUGGAAGGUUAGUUUUCAGAUGAUUCGUCACCAUUCCAGGUAAAAUCAUCAGUGAGCCUCCGGUGAAGCGCUGGAGUUCGGUCCCGCUUUCUAUUCAAGUGUUUCGGUUUCCUUGGGUUGGUGAUGUCAUUUCCUGUUCUUUCUCUCAGAGGAUGGGAGAUGGAUUUGGAGCCAAUGUGUCCUCCCUGGUGUAGUUUGUGUAUGGAAUGAACUGCCAGAGGCUAUUAUACUCACAGUAUUUAAAAGUCACCUGCAUGGACACAUGAAUAGGAAGGGUCUGGAGGGAUAUGGGCAACAUGCUGGCAAAUGGAACUAGUCAGUUACGAUAUCUGGUCGGCCUGAAGGGUCUGUUUCCCUGCUGUACAACUCUGCGACUCUGUCUCUUUGUCUCCCCCUCCCCCUCUCUCAUUUGCUCCAGACCCACCCCCAACCACACACACAAUCUCUGUCUCUCCAUCUCUGUGUGUGUGCCUCACUCUCUGUCUGUCUGUGUCUCUCUCUCUCUCGCUGUGCACUUCUCUGUCUCUCUCCUUCUCUUUCACUGUCUCUUUGGUCUUUGUGUGUGUGUGCCCCUCUCUGUCUCUGCCUCCCUCUGUGUGUGCUUCUGCCUUUCUCUCUCUCCGUCGACCCCCCCACCCACUCUGCGCCGCCCCUCCCCCCGCCUUUUCCUCCAUCUCUCUUACUCUCUAGCCGAGCCUCUCCACCCGCUCAGCAGGGAGCGUUGUGAGUUUCUUUCGAACAAAGUUUAAAGAUCUCUGUUUGAACCCAACCCAUCCGCAAUCAGACUGCAUUUCUAAUCCCUCUCUCUCUCUCUCUCUCUCACACACACACACACACAGUCUGUCUCUUUCUCCCUUUCAGUCAAUCCCCUUCCUCUCCUGGUCCGACUCACGCCUUUUCCCACCCCCCGACUCUGCCUCGGCGAUGAGUCCGCUGUCUGGAUCCCUUGACCCAGGAGUGGGCUGAGGACCCAGCGGUUCGGCAGCGGGGAUCAUCGCACCACGCUCCUGGACCCCUACAACCUCCUGUUCUCCAGCGGCCUCCAGCAUGACCACCGGGCUAGGAGCAGGCAUCCGGGCUGCCGGAGCGCUCGCUGCUCAGUGGCUCAGCCCUGCGCCGCCUUUGCCGGGAGCGGGGAUCCGAGGUGGGAGAAGGCCUCUUCGCCCGGCUCCUGGGCACAGCUACCUGCCUGAACAGCUGCCUGGCACCGAGCCUGCGCUCCCCGAGCACCCGGCCUAGGGUCCGCGACGCCUUCCGGGGCUGAGUAGCCGAAAACUAUCUCCUACUGCAAGUCUUUUCCAGUCCCAUGCUGAGUAUUGUUAUCCCAAUAGUUCUUUAAUGUCAGUGUGUGUGUAUUCCUGGGCGACUAUGCUCGUGUGGUCUACGGAGUUGUGGAGGUCACAGUUCUAGGACAGCCAUUUCAUAGGCCUCUGCUGCAGAAUCUACUCCGGAAGAGAGAGCCCAGAGAAUUGCCAAAGCUGUCUGCAAGCAGUCAAUUGACGUGAAGGAAAAUUGGGAGCAAUUGAAAACCCAUGCGAGCAACUGGCAGAACAAGGUGGAAAAGGCGUUAGAGAAACUUCAAGAACUGCAGAAAGCUCUGGAUGAUCUUGAGUCUCAUGUGAUAACAGCUGAGGGGGUCCACAUUGAUUGGCAACCUGUGAAUGACCUGUUUAUUGACGCAUUGCAGGAUCACAUGGAUAAAACCACAGACUAAAGGUGAAGUCUGACCACGCCAUUUGGCCACUCCUUAGAGAGACACAACUGGUUAUGAUUUAACCUGAAGAUCACCAUGCCUCGGGCAAGUAAAGCGGUUGAGGCGAAGAUCCUUUGUGGUUAAGGACUGUCUGCAAAAUCUGAGAUUGGGUUUUGAAACACAUCAACCUUUGCUUGCGAGAGAUAAUGGUAACUGCAGAUGCUAGAGAAUGCGAGAUAACAAUGUGUGGAGCUGGAUGAACACAGCAGGCCAAGCAGCAUCUCAGGAGCACAAAAGUUGACAUUUCGGGCCUCGACCCUUCAUGCGAGAGAACGUAACGUUUUUAAAGAAGAAAUUGCCCCAGUCAAACAAGAAGUCAAAAUAUUAAAUGAUCUGGGAUGUCAGUUAUCUCCGCUUGAUGUCUCUUUCUCUCCAAAGAUUUCUCACCAGCUUGAUGACCUAAAUAUGAGGUUGAAAUUUAUACAGCAGGAGGUGAGGAGGCAGAGACUGCAACCCUGAGGUCACGGAGGGAAGGAAAAGAGGCUCUUACUUGGAGAUUGAGAAGCAGGAGAGGGCACAACCCAGAGGUUUGGGAGUGGAGAGAGGCUGCAAGUUGGAGGUCAAGGUGAUUUAAACACCGUGCGUUUUUCUGCAUAUCGGCCAGCAAUGAAGAUCCGCCGACUCCAGAAAGCGCUCUGUUACCACAUCAGGUGAAGAUGUGUGUGAUUUCACCAAGGUGCUGAAAAAUAACUUCAGAUCAAAGAAAUACUUUGCCAAACAUCCUUGCUUGGGUUAUUUACCACUACAAACAGUCCUAGAAGUAAUUGCAUGACAGUUUGAAUGGUUCGUUGAGCGUGAGGAACCUAUGGACUCUCAUACACCAAGAU